RNAcentral lists this ribosomal RNA (253 nucleotides) under uncultured bacterium. Its description in RNAcentral is "partial 16S ribosomal RNA". It matches the Rfam family "Bacterial small subunit ribosomal RNA", at positions 524 to 776 of the family's 1533-position model. The record is from RNAcentral.
UACGAGGGGUCCUAGCGUUGUUCGGAAUCAUUGGGCGUAAAGAGUAUGUAGGCGGCUAGAUAAGUCAGGUGUGAAAUCCCUGGGCUCAACCCAGGAAGUGCAUUUGAUACUGUCUAGCUUGAGUGUGGAAGAGGGUAGUGGAAUUCCUGGUGUAGUGGUGAAAUACGUAGAUAUCAGGAGGAACACCGGUGGCGAAGGCGGCUACCUGGUCCUACACUGACGCUGAGAUACGAAAGCGUGGGGAGCAAACAGG